This 1262-nucleotide long non-coding RNA is filed under the name Marmota monax (woodchuck). Lineage: Eukaryota; Metazoa; Chordata; Mammalia; Rodentia; Sciuridae. The record is from RNAcentral.
CAAACAUAUCAAUUGAGGGGACCAGGGAUUAUCUUACCCUUUUGGUCCUAAAAAAAUUUGCAUCCCACAGCCCCUGGUUCAAUUUUUCUGGACCAUACCUCUAUGUAGUCUUAAGUGAUAUACAUUGUCCUCUACAAGGAUUGUCGUUAAUCUAUCCAGUAUCAGAUAUUGUAUGUUUGGUCAUCCCCAUAACCUAGGGUGAGAAUUUACCUCCACCAAUGGUGUGAAGAGGAGGUAAGGAAAUCAGGAAGAUGAGGUGUAGGACAGUGAAGUUGUUUUGUCCAUGGGACUUUGGUAUCUCUAGUUACGAGGGAUGUGUAGUGUAAAGAAUGAUGUGCACUUGGACAGCAAGUAACUCUGACUGUCCUGGGGUCCUGUAUUGAGACUGACAUGAUCUUGGGUACAAAGGGGCAAGGGCAAAUACUUCUGUGCCAGGUACCUAGCUAAGUUAUCUGUCCACCUUCCUGUUGUUGAUGCUGUGCCUGGUGAUCAGUGAACCCAUAAGAGUACAGUGGCAAUUGGAAGCUUGGGCAUGGAAUGGGCAUGAGAUAAAUAUGUGGGGGAAUGGAUUGUGUGUCCUCAGGGAAGGGACUAUUUGUGGUUUGAUUUUCUUCCAUUAUGGCAGGGCAAUAUAACUUUUGAAGAUGUAGCCAUACACUUCUCUUGUGAAGAAUGGAAUCUCCUUGACCAGGCUCAACAAUGCCUGUACCGUGAUGUGAUGGUGGAGAACUUGGCCCUUAUAACUUCCCUGGGUAAGUUCCUGACACCCACCCAUGAGCCCCGAGCAAGUCUGUUUUCUCGCCCUUUUUCUGAGAGGCAGGUCUGUCCUCACACAGGACCAUUGGCUCUACUUCCCUCUGCUCCCUGGGUAGGUUCUGUGGUUAGUAGGAUUGAGAUGUGUACUGCUUUUCUUUGCCUAAGCAUCCCCAACUCUGUUUCCCUGUAGCCUCACAAGGAGACUCGGGAUCAGAAGCCUUGCAGUCACGUUGCUGCAUCCUGCCUUCUUUCCCUCUCCAUGAUUCGAUGUCUUUGUCCAGCUUUGACACCUCUAUGUGCGCCAGGUUCUGCUUCCUUCUUCUAACCAAUGUUUCCUUAUGACUGCCUGUACCAGGGAUCAUGCCACUGAAAUGCUCAUACUUACAGGGACUGUACUAUUCUUACAAGACCUUUCUUUGAAAUUUUCUUUCUAAUAUUUGUUUUAUUUCUCUGGGCUAUCGUGUGCUAAAUUUUUUCUGGGUCAAUGCUGGCUGCUCUUGUUUCCC